Coffea eugenioides is the source of this 107-nucleotide small nucleolar RNA. The record is from RefSeq and is a predicted model, not a curated record. NCBI's taxonomy places the organism in Eukaryota, Viridiplantae, Streptophyta, Magnoliopsida, Gentianales, Rubiaceae.
AUUUGAUGCUGCGGGCAUCUAGUGCACAACUUGUUAAACCUUUCCCAGUAUUCAUACAACGACUCACCGGGAUAUUGUUUAAUGCCGCAUAUCUCCUUCCUCAAACU